RNAcentral lists this ribosomal RNA (389 nucleotides) under Dinophyceae sp. Its description in RNAcentral is "partial small subunit ribosomal RNA". It matches the Rfam family "Eukaryotic small subunit ribosomal RNA", at positions 582 to 975 of the family's 1831-position model. Lineage: Eukaryota; Dinophyceae. The record is from RNAcentral.
AUUCCAGCUCCAAUAGCGUAUAUUAAAGUUGUUGCGGUUAAAAAGCUCGUAGUUGGAUUUCUGCUGAGGACGACUGGUCCGCCCCCUGGGUGAGCAUCUGGUUCGGCCUGGGCAUCUUCUUGGGGAACGUAUCUGCACUUGAUUGUGUGGUGCGGUAUCCAGGACUUUUACUUUGAGGAAAUUAGAGUGUUUCAAGCAGGCCCGCGCCUUGAAUACAUUAGCAUGGAAUAAUAAGAUAGGACCUCGGUUCUAUUUUGUUGGUUUCUAGAGCUGAGGUAGUGAUUAACAGGGACAGUUGGGGGUAUUCAUAUUUACAUGUCAGAGGUGAAAUUCUUGGAUUUUGGAAAGAUGAACUACUGCGAAGGCAUUUACCAAGGAUGUUUUCAUCA